GCUUGGGCCAUGGCUUCAGAAGGUGUAAGCCCCAAGCCUUGGUGUGAUGUUAAGCCUGCAAAUGUGCAGAAGUCAACAACUUUAGUGUGGAAACCUUAACCUACAUUGCUGAAUUAAUGAAUACCUUGAUGACGGAAUGUAACUGAAACUUCUGUUUUUUUCAUGUAAAAGAGAUAUUUUUGAUUAAGCAAAGUGUUAUUUAAUGUUGAGAAAAAAACCCUAUGAAGAAAACUAAAUUGUUCACAAACAUACUUGUUCAGGUGGCUACCUAAAUACCUGCAAUGGUGAGCUGGAAGAUUAUCAGCUAUAUGCAUUGAGUUAAUGAGACUACCUCUCUCUCUCUCUUUUCUUUCUCACUCUCUCCUGCUCAUUGAAUAAAAUUAACAUUUACAAAAGAAUCUCUCUUGUAAGCACUUCUGUCACUAACUCAAUCUCACUCUUUACUGCCUUUUACCUGAACAAUCAUUGUCCCCAAUUAUAUUUGUCUGUUAAUUUAUUCACUUCUUCACCCCUUUUUCCUUCUACUCAUUUAAGUCAUCUAUCAAAUGUCAAUAAUUAUAGCUUUCUUGAGGAUCUUAAUACUCACUUGCUAACCACAACAACAUCACCCUGAUGUGAUUCUGCUAUGUUUUGCACUAUAAUACCUGAAGAAGAGAAGGCUUUGCUUAGGGUUAAUUCAUUCAUUAAUUCAGCCUGUCAUACCAUUUAUUCAACAAAUAUUUAGUGAACACCUACUAUAGGCAAGAAUAACAUUGGGUGUUGUGGACAAAUCAAUGAGCAAAAGUUGAUCUUCUGUGUGUUGUGUAGAUGGAUUUAAACUGGUAACUAUAAUAACAAUGCAGUAGUAUAUAGAGUUGUUCAUUGCCAUCUAUGUGCUCCGAAAUCCCCACAAGUCCCCAAAUCCCUGGAUGUUUAAGUCCUUGAUAUAAAACGGUACAGUAUUUGCAUACAACCUAUGUGCAUCCUCCCAUAUACAUUACAUCAUCUCUGGAUUAUUUAUAAUACCUAAUAUAAUGUAAAUGCUGGGUGAAUAGUUAUUAUACUGUAUUGUUAAAAUAUGUAAUAGUUU
Molecule: long non-coding RNA, 1069 nt
Organism: Sapajus apella (tufted capuchin)
Lineage: Eukaryota; Metazoa; Chordata; Mammalia; Primates; Cebidae
Exons: 3
Source: RefSeq, a predicted model, not a curated record